CACGUAGGGCGCAAGCGUUGUCCGGAAUUAUUGGGCGUAAAGGGCUCGUAGGCGGUUUGUCGCGUCGGGAGUGAAAUCAUCUGGCUUAACUGGGUGCUUGCUUUCGAUACGGGCAGACUAGAGGUAUGCAGGGGAGAACGGAAUUCCUGGUGUAGCGGUGAAAUGCGCAGAUAUCAGGAGGAACACCGGUGGCGAAGGCGGUUCUCUGGGCAUGAUCUGACGCUGAGGAGCGAAAGUGUGGGGAGCGAACAGG
RNAcentral lists this ribosomal RNA (253 nucleotides) under uncultured bacterium. RNAcentral describes it as "partial 16S ribosomal RNA". It matches the Rfam family "Bacterial small subunit ribosomal RNA", at positions 524 to 776 of the family's 1533-position model. The record is from RNAcentral.